UCCCUGGUGACUCAGUUGGUAAAGAAUCUGCCUGCAAUGCAGAAGACCUGAGUUCAAUCCCUGGGUGGGGAA
This 72-nucleotide transfer RNA is filed under the name Bos taurus (domestic cattle). It matches the Rfam family "tRNA". From Rfam's summary of the family: Transfer RNA (tRNA) molecules are approximately 80 nucleotides in length. Their secondary structure includes four short double-helical elements and three loops (D, anti-codon, and T loops). RNAcentral also lists the same sequence under 5 other names. The record is from Rfam by way of RNAcentral. Lineage: Eukaryota; Metazoa; Chordata; Mammalia; Artiodactyla; Bovidae.